GGGAAUGUAGCUCAGUGGUAGAGCAUUUGUCUGUCUGUGAAAAGCUCUAGGUUCAAUCCCUAGCACCA
This 68-nucleotide transfer RNA is filed under the name Neotoma lepida (desert woodrat). It matches the Rfam family "tRNA". Rfam says of the family: Transfer RNA (tRNA) molecules are approximately 80 nucleotides in length. Their secondary structure includes four short double-helical elements and three loops (D, anti-codon, and T loops). The record is from Rfam by way of RNAcentral. Lineage: Eukaryota; Metazoa; Chordata; Mammalia; Rodentia; Cricetidae.